CAGAGAACUUGCCCUUCGGGGUAGAUCUCCCACCCUUUGCUUACAUUACCAUUGUUGCUUUGGCAGGCCCGCCUCACGGCCGCCGGCUCCGGCUGGUCAGCGCCUGCCAGAGGAUUUUAAACUCUUGUUUAAUUGUCGUCUGAGUACCAUAUAAUAGUUA
Molecule: unclassified non-coding RNA, 160 nt
Filed under: uncultured Rhytismataceae
Lineage: Eukaryota; Fungi; Ascomycota; Leotiomycetes; Rhytismatales; Rhytismataceae
Description: sequence contains ITS1
Source: RNAcentral